RNAcentral lists this ribosomal RNA (345 nucleotides) under Thalassiosira rotula. Its description in RNAcentral is "partial Bacterial small subunit ribosomal RNA". It matches the Rfam family "Bacterial small subunit ribosomal RNA", at positions 1 to 343 of the family's 1533-position model. Lineage: Eukaryota; Bacillariophyta; Thalassiosirophyceae; Thalassiosirales; Thalassiosiraceae. The record is from RNAcentral.
AUGGAGAGUUUGAUCCUGGCUCAGGACGAACGCUGGCGGCGGGCUUAACACAUGCAAGUCGAAGGAGAAGGUGACUGCUUGCAGUCACUGGAGACUGGCGGACGGGUGAGUAACGCGUAGCUAACCUGCCUUUAGCUGGGGGAUAACAUUCCGAAAGGGAUGCUAAUACCGCAUAAUGCAGCGGGGCCGCAUGGCCACAGUUGUUAAAGGUUUCGACCGGCUAGAGAUGGGGCUGCGUACUAUUAGUUAGUUGGUGAGGUAACGGCUCACCAAGGCGAUGAUAGUUAGGGGGUCUGAGAGGAUGAUCCCCCACACUGGGACUGAGACACGGCCCAGACUCCUACG